This 254-nucleotide ribosomal RNA is filed under the name uncultured bacterium. Its description in RNAcentral is "partial 16S ribosomal RNA". It matches the Rfam family "Bacterial small subunit ribosomal RNA", at positions 524 to 776 of the family's 1533-position model. The record is from RNAcentral.
GACGUAGGGCGCGAGCGUUGUCCGGAAUUAUUGGGCGUAAAGAGCUCGUAGGCGGUUCGUCGCGUCGGCUGUGAAAACCCGGAGCUCAACUCCGGGCCUGCAGUCGAUACGGGCGGACUUGAGUUCGGCAGGGGGAGACUGGAAUUCUUGGUGUAGCGGUGAAAUGCGUAGAUAUCAAGAGGAACACCUGAGGUGAAGACGGGUUGCUGGGCUGAUACUGACGCUGAGGCGCGAAAGCUAGGGUAGCAAACGGG